Melospiza melodia melodia is the source of this 4838-nucleotide RNA transcript. It is a transcript of the gene named proteasome 26S subunit, non-ATPase 10, with no coding region annotated. NCBI's taxonomy places the organism in Eukaryota, Metazoa, Chordata, Aves, Passeriformes, Passerellidae. The record is from RefSeq and is a predicted model, not a curated record. The transcript is spliced from 7 exons.
GGCGCGGGGGCAGCAUGGAGGGCGCGGUGUCGGACGUGGCCGUGUGUAACCUGGCGUUCGCGGGGCGCCUCGAGGAGCUGCGGGCGCUGCUGCUCCGCGACCGGGCCCAGGCCACGCGGGCCGACCAGGAUCACCGCACCGCGCUGCACUGGGCCUGCUCGGCGGGACACACGGACGUGGCGGAGCUGCUGCUCGGGCUCGGCGUGCCUGUCAACGACAAGGACGAUGCUGGUUGGACUCCCCUGCACAUUGCUGCUUCAGCAGGCCGUGAUGAAAUUGUGAAAGCCCUCAUUGCUAAGGGUGCUCAUGUAAAUGCUGUCAAUCAGAAUGGCUGCACGCCCCUGCAUUAUGCAGCCUCCAAAAAUAAGCAGGAGAUUGCAAUCAUGCUUUUGGAGAAUGGGGCAGAUCCAGAUGCAACAGAUCAUUUUGAAUCCACCCCGUUACACAGAGCAGCAGCCAAAGGAAACCUAAAAAUGGUACAGAUCCUUGUGCAGCACAAUGCAACUUUGGAUAUCCGGGACUCUGAAGGGAAUACUCCUCUAUGCUGCUAAGUGGAAGCUGCCUGUUAAAAUAGGGAAGAGGGCAAUGGCACCUUCUGUUAAAAGAGCAACAGCAAAGAUUCUGCAGUCAGAACCAGGUCCAGCUCCUGCUCCUUGAAGGAAAUUAAGAUGGCUUUGGAUGGACUCCUUCAUAAUUUCCAGGUCAAUACUCCUCCCAUCCCCAUCUCCUGGAGUCUCUGCAUCACAAUGCUCUACAUGCCCAGUACUUAUGGAUAUCAGAGUGAUGAGAUGCACUUGGAGAGGCAAUAAAAGUGUCCUACUAAUCUCCACAGAAUCCUGAUUUCCUGACUGGAGGACACUUUCAGGACAUGACCUCUUUUCCAGUACCUGCCUUUCCACCACAUGUGAAGCUCUAGGAUCCUGUUGGAUGAUGUUUUUCUGAUGGAUUCAGUGUGUGACUCAGUCUUUGCCUGGAGAGCUGGAAAGCUCCAGCAUCCAGAGGGCCCUGUCAUUGGGCUGUCAUUUUCUGUUUGACAUUUUCUCAAGCUACUAGAAAAUGGAGGAUAUUAAGAAUUUCACUUGUUUGAGAUUGUGAUCUCUUUAUGAAUUCUGAGGACAGACAGAAUUUAUAAAAUAACAAGGGGGGAAAUGUUCAUCACUUCCUUAAGCAUCUUACCAUCUAAUGAGAGAACAAAUGCCACACAGUCAGAGUGUUAAUGAAGGCCCAAAGCUCAGAUUCUGAGCUCAGCUAGCUAAGAAAGCAAAUGUUCACACAUGUGUUGGUUUCUUUGACACAUCGCAUGACUGAGUCUGGGCCCAAAUCUCUUCUUUCAUCCCCAGCUUCUUUUCACACAUUUUUGUCAAAACUCUGAUCUGCAGAAGGUAGUAGGGAUAUCACAGGGAUAUCCCUUACUGGGCUUUUUGCAGAGGGAAUUGGAGGUAUUAAUAAUGACAAGUGUCUUGUCACAAUAGUGCACUGGUAGAAGAAGAAAGGAAGGGAGUCAGAAGCCUUUAGAGGAUUAAUCAUUCAGCAGCUUUAACUGAUGCAAAUAUAUUGAAGGAGCAGCUCUUUCAUGUUCUCACAGUAUCAUUCUUGUGGCUGAACUUUUAGUGAAUAAUUCCCACCAAGAACAAAUGUGUUUUCUCAGUGCAUUUGGUGUAACUGCCCUUCAGCAGUUAUUAUUAGAUGUCAGUUUACAUUAGGCUGUCCCUGUACCUCAUGGUGAGAUGGGAACCCUGCUGCAGUCAGAGAGUUUGGAAUGGAUUAGGGCUGGAACCCUGAGCUGACAGCAGAGAGGAAGCUGGUUCAGCUCAGUGUCCUUGGUAUCCAUCACAUCUCAAAAUGGUUUUAUAUUCUAGAAAGGAGAUCCAGGAUGAUUUUUUUUUUCUAUGUAAAUAUGUAGCCCCAAAUUUGGGCUGCCCAGCCUGGCUCACAUUCAGCCCAGAGGAUCCUUGUGGGUGCACACACCCUACAGAUACCCUUUGGGUAGAAUAUUCCUGAAGGUGCCAGUUCAGCCACCUAGAAUAGGUGGGAAGGAAAACCCCCCCCACAAAAGCUACAUCCAAAAUAAUUUUGACAGAAAAAAUGCAAUAAAAAAUAGGGUGAGUUAAAAAUUCUGGAUCAUGCAUCCAAUUCAACUUAUUUCAGUCAUGUGCGGCUUUUCAGAUUUCAAUACAGAAUAUGAAUACAGGUUUCACAGUAGCACACAUCUAGUAGAAGCUAUUUAGCUCUCUUUCCCCCUUAAGAUUAUGGGGAUUGUUUUCUUACCUUGUAUCUCCAGCUACAUCUUCCCCGUGCAUCUGUCACAUACACCGUCUUUUGACAAAGACUGACUGACUUUUCAUCCAUACUCAGAAUACCAUGGCAUGGGGAAUGCUGCAUUUGAGUAAAAAUGUGCUGAUCUGAGAGUUAAAUGAGACUUUAAAUGUUCCCCCAAAAUCAAAGAGCCAUUUCUCACACAGCUCCCCACCUACCAUCCGUGCUGAUCACGAGGGCAGGUGCCUCAUGUUCAGUGCUUUGUGCAGAAAGUACCUCAGGCCUUGUCAGCCACAAGGUGAAACCAGCUUAUUCCUAAAUUCUACCUAAAAUUAGACACACUAAGAUUAAAGUCUAAUGUUUGCUACAAACACCCCAGUUACAGCCUGAUUAUUUUCUUCUUGUCUGCACUUUGUGAUAGCCACAGGCAGUGCCCAUGGUCCCAGUGACACCCAGAGUCACUCCAAUGGCAGUGACACGUGUCCCAUGGUCUGAGUGACACCCAGAGUCACUGCAAUGGCAGUGACACGUGUCCCAUGGUCCCACUGACGCCCAGAGUCACUGCAAUGGCAGUGACAAACACCAGCAGCUCCAUCCCUCUGCUCUGCAGGUGCUGCCUCUGCUCCCCAUGGAGCUGUUCCUUACAGUGCCUGCUCAGGCAUCCAAGUGCUAGAUAAAACUCAGUUCUAAACAAUCAGCUGUAGGCAAAAGGAGAUGCUUAUGGAUGAGAGAGGCCCUUUCUUUGCAGGAAGUUUUCCUGCACUGUCUCAGGAGGUGCUUCCCACAGGCUCAUCUUUCUCAUGGGCUGGGAUGGACUGCUCUGCUCCCAGGCUGGUGUCCCCUGCAGCACUGACAGCUCUGCGGGAGCAUCUCAGGGGUCUUGCGGCUCAAAGUGUGUGAAGGUGUCCCCUGAACUGCUCAGCCUACAUGGAGGGGAAUUUGUUCUUUCAGAGGCUUUGAUGGAAACCCCCACAUACAGGGCUGGCCCUUCUCUGCCUCUCACCUGGGGUGGCCCAGUGCCCUGGCUGUGCCUUGCCUUGUGCUGAGCAGCUGAGUUGUGCUGCUAUUGGGACUACUGAUCAUCUGAAUUUGGGGUGUCAGCGUGGAAGGAGCUGACACAUCUGUGCUCAGGUCACUUUUCUUGUCUUUCCUCCUUUGGGCUUUCCCUCCUUGUCCCCUGUUGCUGACCAAUGUGCCACAAGUUCAUGUUUUUUGGAGAAGAUUUUCAUAAGAACUCUAUCAAUAAUUCUGUUUUGCCUAAAAGUAACAGGCAUCCAUGACCUUUACUCAUAUAGUGAAUUUAAAAUUUCAAUCAAGAAUCCUGCCCUGGGCACAUCUUGGUUGGCCAGGCAGUGUCCCUGAGCAUUUCAGUGACUUCAGCUGUGGGUGGCCUGGGGCUCAAGGUGUGGCCCAGGCUGGGUUCAGGAGUUGGAUUUGGCUUUGCAAGGCUGCAGCCUCGCCUGUGAAGAGUCAACAGAGGCUUCAGCUUGCAAACAUUUGCUUAGGUGCUUUACACUGGGGCCAGCCAGGUGACUCAGAGCAUGAAAUGAAGCACAGAUGUAGGUCUGAGCAGGAGCUGGGCUUCUGUGCUGGACCCUGGGUGAGCAGAGCAGUGUUAGCCUCAGUUUGUGGAUAUGUAAAAUAGAGAUCACUCAGUGCUGGAAAGUUCUCAAGAUCCUUGGCUGGUAGUUAUUAUUUCAAACUUAAAUGCAGCACUAAAGGGCAUAUUGCUAAGGGCUAAAUGGGAAAAAUAAAAAGUUAAAAAUAUGUAUGGCAUCCUAUUUUCCAUGAUUUUAUACUUACAUUAUUAAGUUCAAGUGAGGGAAAUUACUUCUACUAGAGAAACUUCUCAGGAAAAGAGCAGAGAUAGGCUCAUUUGGUAAAAAGUUUAUGUUUACCCACUAAAGCUGUGCUGUCUUCAAAGGAGUGCUGUGAACACCUGGCUCUGUUUGCUUGCCUGAGCAGCCUGGCUGUGGUGGCUCCUCCCUGCCCCUGGUGUAACUGCCAGGGCUGGAGCUGUGACACCUGUGGCAGCCCUAGGGAGGGGGGACAGAGCAGGACAGGGCAGGAAAACACCCCAAGAUGGGAAAUACCACAACAUGCAGGGGAUGGAAACACCACAGCAAGCAGGGGAUGGAAACACCACAGCAAACAGGGCAGGGGAAUACCACAGCAAGCAGGGGAUGGAAAUGCCACAACAAGCAGCAAAAGACAAAACCAACCUCACCAAGGCAGUGCUGGGAGGCAGAUCUGCAUCAGUAGCAGGGCUGCAAAGUAAAGAAAAGCACAGCCUGCCCUUGUGGCAAGGUAAAAUCUGCUGCUGAGCACUUAGGGACAUUAAAUUAACACUGACACUAGUCCUGCUCCUGGCAUUGCUGAUUUCACUCCAGGACUGUAUCUGAGUUUAUAGAUCUCAAAACGUAAAUCUGGACUGUAAGUGGCAGUGUAAAGUAAAGGGGUACCUAUGGGCUCUGCUUUUUAUAUGUUAUGUCCUAAAAUCUAGUAAUUUAACCCUCCCAUUCAUUAAUGCUUAAAGCCAAAAGCUUCUUAAUGGUAUAAAUUUGCUUUAAUUAUAUAUAACA